Molecule: ribosomal RNA, 811 nt
Filed under: uncultured bacterium
Lineage: Bacteria
Description: bacterial SSU rRNA
Rfam family: Bacterial small subunit ribosomal RNA
Source: RNAcentral
AUGCAAGUCGAGGGGCAGCGCGGUAGCAAUACUGGCGGCGACCGGCAAACGGGUGCGGAACACGUACACAAUCUGCCUUUGUCUGGGGCAUAGCCCGGAGAAAUCCGGAUUAACUCCCCAUAACAUACAUGAGUGGCAUCACUUGAGUAUUAAAAAUUUAUUGGACAGAGAUGAGUGUGCGUCCCAUUAGCUAGUUGGUAGGGUAACGGCCUACCAAGGCGACGAUGGGUAGCUGGUGUGAGAGCACGGCCAGCCACACGGGCACUGAGACACGGGCCCGACUCCUACGGGAGGCAGCAGUGAGGAAUAUUGGUCAAUGGGCGCAAGCCUGAACCAGCCAUGCCGCGUGAAGGAUGAAGGCCUUCUGGGUUGUAAACUUCUUUUAUGGGGGAAGAAAACUACGGUUUCUACUGUAGCCGACGGUACCCUAGGAAUAAGCACCGGCUAACUCCGUGCCAGCAGCCGCGGUAAUACGGAGGGUGCAAGCGUUAUCCGGAUUUACUGGGUUUAAAGGGUGUGUAGGCGGGCUUUUAAGUCAGUGGUGAAAUCUCCGGGCUCAACCCGGAAACUGCCAUUGAUACUAUUAGCCUUGAAUUUUGUUGAGGCAGGCGGAAUAAGUCAUGUAGCGGUGAAAUGCAUAGAUAUGACUUAGAACACCAAUUGCGAAGGCAGCUUGCUAAACAAACAUUGACGCUGAGGCACGAAAGCGUGGGGAUCAAACAGGAUUAGAUACCCUGGUAGUCCACGCCCUAAACGAUGAUUACUCGACAUACGCGAUACACAGUGUGUGUCUGAGCGAAAGCAUUAAGUA